GCCAGUGUAUCAUAGUGGUUUAAGCACUGGACUAGGAUUCUGGUAGACCAGGGUUCAAAUCCCAGCUCAGCCA
Non-coding RNA from Phrynosoma platyrhinos (Desert horned lizard), 73 nucleotides. The record is from the annotation of a GenBank genome assembly. Lineage: Eukaryota; Metazoa; Chordata; Lepidosauria; Squamata; Phrynosomatidae.